CCAGACUCCUACGGGAGGCAGCAGUGAGGAAUAUUGGUCAAUGGGCUUACGCCUGAACCAGCCAAGUCGCGUGAGGGAAGACUGCCCUAUGGGUUGUAAACCUCUUUUGUCAGGGAGCAACGCCGGCUACGUGUAGCCGGACUGAGAGUACCUGAAGAAAAAGCAUCGGCUAACUCCGUGCCAGCAGCCGCGGUAAUACGGAGGAUGCGAGCGUUAUCCGGAUUUAUUGGGUUUAAAGGGUGCGUAGGCGGAUUUUUAAGUCAGCGGUAAAAUGUCCGGGCUCAACCCGGGCCGGCCGUUGAAACUGGGGAUCUUGAGUGGGCGAGAAGUAUGCGGAAUGCGUGGUGUAGCGGUGAAAUGCAUAGAUAUCACGCAGAACUCCGAUUGCGAAGGCAGCAUACCGGCGCCCGACUGACGCUGAGGCACGAAAGCGUGGGGAUCGAACAGGAUUAGAUACCCUAGUA
Molecule: ribosomal RNA, 464 nt
Filed under: uncultured bacterium
Lineage: Bacteria
Description: bacterial SSU rRNA
Rfam family: Bacterial small subunit ribosomal RNA
Source: RNAcentral